RNAcentral lists this signal recognition particle RNA (315 nucleotides) under Candidatus Methanovirga meridionalis. RNAcentral describes it as "signal recognition particle sRNA". It matches the Rfam family "Archaeal signal recognition particle RNA". The record is from RNAcentral. Lineage: Archaea; Methanobacteriati; Methanobacteriota; Methanobacteria; Methanobacteriales; Methanobacteriaceae.
UAUAUGGCUAGACUGGAGGGUUAGAGGUCCUCUGUAAGCACAAACCCUCUUUUGGUGUGGUUGAAAUUCAAAGGGCGGCUUAUUGAAUGAAUAAUCGCCUGAUAAAUCGAUAUAGAAACUUCGUCCUACAGGAUUAAUGGUCAUAAAAUCUUAACUGGAGGGUUAAGGUGAAUUAUGUUUGUUAUAGGAAUGUGUUAGGCAUGGAAAUGAGCAACUCUACUAUAAACAGUUAAUGCUUGUAGAUUAACGGGGUGGAGUUGAUUUUUCAGAUAACCUUUAUUUAGGAUGUAAGUCCACCUUUGAAUGUGCCGUUAU